Populus euphratica (Euphrates poplar) is the source of this 547-nucleotide long non-coding RNA. RefSeq lists it as uncharacterized. The record is from RefSeq and is a predicted model, not a curated record. Lineage: Eukaryota; Viridiplantae; Streptophyta; Magnoliopsida; Malpighiales; Salicaceae. The transcript has 2 exons.
UAAUUUAAAAUUUAAAAAACAGUCCCUAAAACUCCAGAAAUUGCAGCGUGAAUAGUGUCAGCGCGUUGCCCAACGCGCUACUACCACUAGCGGCACGUGGGUUCACGCGCCGCUGGGAAAGAAACCGGCUGAAAUUGACUUCUCCUCCUCUUCUCUUCUGCAACACCAGCGACGUCGUGACCUACAAAACAACAAAAAAUACACAACAACAUCGUUGACUCUCCUUAGAUCUGCUUCUUUCUCCUUCAUUUUGGGUCUGAUCCGUUUCUCUACCGAUGGCGGAUCUGGUGGCGGUUCGCUUCUAUGGAGGAUGGUCUAUGGGAAGAUGAAGAAGAGAAUGAGGAUGGCUGGUGCAUGCAUCCGGUUUGAAAUGGUGCCGGAUCUGUGGGCGACGCCGUUUUGGGGGCAAGAGCUGUUGCGUUGUGGUGCUUGCUAGAGGAGAAGAGGCUGGAUCUGCAAGCGCCACCGGAGGGAGAAGGCGGACUGCUCCACGCCUGUGGGCGAUGCUGCUAAUGCUGCCACUAUUGGUGGAGGAGCUGGAGACGAC